GAUGAACGCUGGCGGCGUGCCUAAUACAUGCAAGUCGAGCGAACAGUCGAGGAGCUUGCUCCUCUGACGUUAGCGGCGGACGGGUGAGUAACACGUGGAUAACCUACCUAUAAGACUGGGAUAACUUCGGGAAACCGGAGCUAAUACCGGAUAAUAUAUUGAACCGCAUGGUUCAAUAGUGAAAGACGGUUUUGCUGUCACUUAUAGAUGGAUCCGCGCCGCAUUAGCUAGUUGGGAAGGUAACGGCUUACCAAGGCAACGAUGCGUAGCCGACCUGAGAGGGUGAUGGGCCACACUGGAACUGGACCACGCCCCAGACUCCUACGGGAGGAAGCAGUAGGGAAUCUUCCGCAAUGGGCGAAAGCCUGACGGAGCAACGCCGCGUGAGUGAUGAAGGUCUUCGGAUCGUAAAACUCUGUUAUUAGGGAAGAACAAAUGUGUAAGUAAAUAUGCACGUCUUGACGGUACCUAAUCAGAAAGCCACGGCUAACUACGUG
Molecule: ribosomal RNA, 497 nt
Filed under: uncultured bacterium
Lineage: Bacteria
Description: partial 16S ribosomal RNA
Rfam family: Bacterial small subunit ribosomal RNA
Source: RNAcentral